This is a non-coding RNA of Manis javanica (Malayan pangolin), 1618 nucleotides long. The record is from RefSeq and is a predicted model, not a curated record. NCBI's taxonomy places the organism in Eukaryota, Metazoa, Chordata, Mammalia, Pholidota, Manidae.
CUACCAGCCAAAAGUUUUCCAGCGAGUGAGAAAAACAGCCUGGCUCGGCUGCCCUCUCCCCGGGUAACAGGAUUGCUGACAGUUCGGGUCCACGUGACGGCCUAGAAAAGAGGCUCAGGCUGAUGAAAACCGAAGAAAUCUUCUUCGGAGUUUUCCUUUCUGAAUGUCAAUGGCUGAGUCAGUGCGUUGCUGAGCGGGGAAGGAAGUCACAGUCACACAGAGUGACUCAUUCAACGCUGUUCGCUCAGGCAGACGGAUAAAAAGUUUUAGCGAAAGCAGUAACAAUCUCCUUUAAAUACUAGCACAGUAAGGAAAUUCUUCUCUUUCAGGCUGAAUGCCAUCCACACAAAAGAGCUCCUGUUGACAUCUCAUUUACAAUCUCCCCCAGGACACAGACAAGACCAUUUCAAUAAACCCAGCUCAGAAACACCUAUUGUUCAAAAUCUUCAACUAGCAACAGGCUACCACCACUCCCUAUUGUUUUGUAAAAUAAAAGAUUUAGAAGGGGAAGGAUUGGGGCUGUGGAAGCUCUGAAAAGAGGUAGGGGAAAAAGUCCCUUUGACUCGAGGCUGUCAGAGUGCACAGGAAGAAUAAAGUUGAUGAAUUUCCAUUUUCAUAAGAAGUGCAUAGGAAUGCCCGUUAAGCUUCUGAACUAGUGAUUGGGAAUUCUAAAUUUGAUGCCAACUUUGUGUGUAAAGAAGCUAAUUCCUGCCAACUUGUUUGCGAAGUGGAAAGCCGGAGACUGUACUCACCCUCUUCUCAGCCUUACAGAAGCCCAGAUAGCAGCACAAGCAAACGCACCAGAUCCUAUUAGCUCCUUUCUGGAGGAUCACAGCAACUAACUGACUCCCGAUUCCUCGAACUACCGGUUGUGACUUGUUAAUGGGACAUGAAAUCCAUUUUUGAAAAUGAAACAGCUUGAGAAGUGUCAGAGUGCACCAAACAAAGGAACAGGUCUGUCUUGUCUCUGCUUCCACACUGCUGUACACGCUUAAAGCAAGAGUGGAGAGUGGAAGAUCCUGGACAGAUCCUGUCACUCCUGCGGACGGGUCUGCCUUCAGGAUAAGUGCUGACUCGAGGGCUUUAAAGAUUCCAAAGAACUUGGUUCCCCACGCACCUUCGAGGUCUCAGAACUCUACAUCCUCCUGCCCACUCUUACUUUUAGUUAUUAAAACCAUUAAGUUCCCUGGUCUUUGCAGAUGGAAUUUCCCCUUUAGGGACAUGCUUUCCUCCUCUUUCCCCUUCAGGUAUCGUAGGGGUCACCUCUGCCAGGAUGACUUCUGGAAUGUUCUAAAUGACUCCCCCAGUUCUUAUUAGAACACUGUACUUUUUAUCUGACAAAGCACUUAGUACAUUAUAACUAUCUUCUCAAUUCCCUAUUAUUUAAGCUCCAAGUGGGCAUUCAGUAAAUAUUGUGUAAAUAUUUGCAUCGAAUGUUUCACAUAGCUCAACAUUUCCUUUCUACAUACCAAUUUGAAUAGUUUAUUGUAAAGUAUCAUCUCCAUUUUUCAAAGCUUUUGUGUUCAUUUUUUUACACUUCAAUAUCUCCUGUUCAUUUGCUUUUCAAACACUGAUUAAUGUGAAAAUUAACUGGACUUUUGAAAAUCAAAGUAAUAAA